RNAcentral lists this ribosomal RNA (502 nucleotides) under uncultured Glomeromycotina. RNAcentral's name for it is "partial small subunit ribosomal RNA". It matches the Rfam family "Eukaryotic small subunit ribosomal RNA", at positions 591 to 1092 of the family's 1831-position model. Lineage: Eukaryota; Fungi; Glomeromycota. The record is from RNAcentral.
CCAAUAGCGUAUAUUAAAGUUGUUGCAGUUAAAAAGCUCGUAGUUGAAUUUCGGAAUCUGUCCGUUGGUCGGGCUUCAUUGUCCGUACUGGUGUGAUGGGUUCUUACCUUCUGAAUAACCAGCAUGCCAUUCAUUUGGUGCGUUGGGGAAGCAGGACUAUUACCUUGAAAAAAUUAGAGUGCUCAAAGCAGGCUAGUGCCUGAAUACAUUAGCAUGGAAUAAUAAAAUAGGACGGCAUGGUUCUAUUUUGUUGGUUUCUAGGAUCACCGUAAUGAUUAAUAGGGAGAGUUGGGGGCAUUAGUAUUCAAUUGUCAGAGGUGAAAUUCUUGGAUUUAUUGAAGACUAACUUCUGCGAAAGCAUUUGCCAAGGAUGUUUUCAUUAAUCAAGAACGAAAGUUAGGGGAUCGAAGACGAUCAGAUACCGUCGUAGUCUUAACCAUAAACUAUGCCGACUAGGGAUCGGACGAUGUUAAUUUUUUAAUGACUCGUUCGGCGCCUUACG